Molecule: ribosomal RNA, 450 nt
Filed under: uncultured bacterium
Lineage: Bacteria
Description: partial 16S ribosomal RNA
Rfam family: Bacterial small subunit ribosomal RNA
Source: RNAcentral
GUGGGGAAUUUUGGACAAUGGGCGCAAGCCUGAUCCAGCAAUGCCGCGUGUGUGAAGAAGGCCUUCGGGUUGUAAAGCACUUUUGGCAGGAAAGAAAUAGUGCGUGCUAAUACCAUGCGCGAAUGACGGUACCUGCAGAAUAAGCACCGGCUAACUACGUGCCAGCAGCCGCGGUAAGACGUAGGGUGCAAGCGUUAAUCGGAAUUACUGGGCGUAAAGCGUGCGCAGGCGGUUUUGUAAGACAGUUGUGAAAUCCCCGGGCGCAACCUGGGAACUGCACUUGUGACUGCAAGGCUAGAGUGUGUCAGAGGGAGGUGGAAUUCCGCGUGUAGCAGUGAAAUGCGUAGAGAUGCGGAGGAACACCGAUGGCGAAGGCAGCCUCCUGGGAUAACACUGACGCUCAGGCACGAAAGCGUGGGGAGCAAACAGGAUUAGAUACCCCGGUAGUCC